GACGAACGCUGGCGGCGUGCUUAACACAUGCAAGUCGAACGGAAAGGCCCUGCUUUUGUGGGGUGCUCGAGUGGCGAACGGGUGAGUAACACGUGAGUAACCUGCCCUUGACUUUGGGAUAACUUCAGGAAACUGGGGCUAAUACCGGAUAGGAGCUCCUGCUGCAUGGUGGGGGUUGGAAAGUUUCGGCGGUUGGGGAUGGACUCGCGGCUUAUCAGCUUGUUGGUGGGGUAGUGGCUUACCAAGGCUUUGACGGGUAGCCGGCCUGAGAGGGUGACCGGCCACAUUGGGACUGAGAUACGGCCCAGACUCCUACGGGAGGCAGCAGUGGGGAAUAUUGGACAAUGGGCGGAAGCCUGAUGCAGCAACGCCGCGUGCGGGAUGACGGCCUUCGGGUUGUAAACCGCUUUCGCCUGUGACGAAGCGUGAGUGACGGUAAUGGGCAAAGAAGCACCGGCUAACUACGUG
This 468-nucleotide ribosomal RNA is filed under the name uncultured bacterium. Its description in RNAcentral is "partial 16S ribosomal RNA". It matches the Rfam family "Bacterial small subunit ribosomal RNA", at positions 28 to 507 of the family's 1533-position model. The record is from RNAcentral.